GUCUCCGUGGCGCAAUUGGUUAGCGCGUCUGACUGUUAAUCAGGAGGUUGACAGUUCAAUCCUGUCCGGUGACG
This 74-nucleotide transfer RNA is filed under the name Endocronartium harknessii PhW48OC. RNAcentral describes it as "tRNA-Asn (GTT) (tRNA-Asn-GTT-2-1)". It matches the Rfam family "tRNA". Rfam says of the family: Transfer RNA (tRNA) molecules are approximately 80 nucleotides in length. Their secondary structure includes four short double-helical elements and three loops (D, anti-codon, and T loops). Further hydrogen bonds mediate the characteristic L-shaped molecular structure. tRNAs have two regions of fundamental functional importance: the anti-codon, which is responsible for specific mRNA codon recognition, and the 3' end, to which the tRNAs corresponding amino acid is attached (by aminoacyl-tRNA synthetases). tRNAs cope with the degeneracy of the genetic code in two manners: having more than one tRNA (with a specific anti-codon) for a particular amino acid; and 'wobble' base-pairing, i.e. permitting non-standard base-pairing at the 3rd anti-codon position. The record is from RNAcentral. Lineage: Eukaryota; Fungi; Basidiomycota; Pucciniomycetes; Pucciniales; Coleosporiaceae.